Molecule: ribosomal RNA, 332 nt
Filed under: uncultured Limnohabitans sp.
Lineage: Bacteria; Pseudomonadati; Pseudomonadota; Betaproteobacteria; Burkholderiales; Comamonadaceae
Description: bacterial SSU rRNA
Rfam family: Bacterial small subunit ribosomal RNA
Source: RNAcentral
CUCGGAGUUUGAUCCUGGCUCAGAUUGAACGCUGGCGGAAUGCUUUACACAUGCAAGUCGAACGGUAGAGGGGGCAACCCCUGAGAGUGGCGAACGGGUGAGUAAUAUAUCGGAACGUGCCCAGUCGUGGGGGAUAACGUAGUGAAAUUACGCUAAUACCGCAUACGAUCUAUGGAUGAAAGCGGGGGAUCGCAAGACCUCGCGCGACUUGGAGCGGCCGAUAUCAGAUUGGUAGUUGGUGGGGUAAAGCUCACCAAGCCAACGAUCAGUAGCUGGUCUGAGAGGACGACCAGCCACACUGGAACUGAGACACGGUCCAGACUCCUACGGGA